UACAGAGGGGGCAAGCGUUGUUCGGAAUUAUUGGGCGUAAAGGGUGCGUAGGCGGUGCGGUAAGUCUUCUGUGAAAUCUCCGGGCUCAACUCGGAGUCUGCAGGAGAAACUGCCGUGCUUGAGUAUGGGAGAGGUGAGUGGAAUUCCUGGUGUAGCGGUGAAAUGCGUAGAUAUCAAGGAGGAACACCUGUGGCGAAAGCGGCUCACUGGACCAUAAACUGACGCU
Molecule: ribosomal RNA, 226 nt
Filed under: uncultured bacterium
Lineage: Bacteria
Description: partial 16S ribosomal RNA
Rfam family: Bacterial small subunit ribosomal RNA
Source: RNAcentral